RNAcentral lists this transfer RNA (69 nucleotides) under Acanthemblemaria spinosa (spinyhead blenny). RNAcentral's name for it is "tRNA-Phe". It matches the Rfam family "tRNA". From Rfam's summary of the family: Transfer RNA (tRNA) molecules are approximately 80 nucleotides in length. Their secondary structure includes four short double-helical elements and three loops (D, anti-codon, and T loops). Lineage: Eukaryota; Metazoa; Chordata; Actinopteri; Blenniiformes; Chaenopsidae. The record is from RNAcentral.
GUUAGCGUAGCUUAACUAAAGCAUAACACUGAAGAUGUUAAGAUAGUCCCUAGAAAGGACUCGUAAACA